UGGGGAAUAUUGCACAAUGGGCGCAAGCCUGAUGCAGCCAUGCCGCGUGUAUGAAGAAGGCCUUCGGGUUGUAAAGUACUUUCAGUCGGGAGGAAGGUGGUAAGGUUAAUAACCUUGGCAAUUGACGUGACCGACAGAAGAAGCACCGGCUAACUCCGUGCCAGCAGCCGCGGUAAUACGGAGGGUGCAAGCGUUAAUCGGAAUUACUGGGCGUAAAGCGCACGCAGGCGGUUUGUUAAGUCAGAUGUGAAAUCCUCGGGCUCAACCUGGGAACUGCAUCUGAUACUGGCAAGCUUGAGUCUCGUAGAGGGGGGUAGAAUUCCAGGUGUAGCGGUGAAAUGCGUAGAGAUCUGGAGGAAUACCGGUGGCGAAGGCGGCCCCCUGGACGAAGACUGACGCUCAGGUGCGAAAGCGUGGGGAGCAAACAGG
Molecule: ribosomal RNA, 429 nt
Filed under: Chloroflexota bacterium
Lineage: Bacteria; Bacillati; Chloroflexota
Description: Chloroflexi bacterium partial 16S ribosomal RNA
Rfam family: Bacterial small subunit ribosomal RNA
Source: RNAcentral